AUUGUAUUACUCAUUGAGACAUUUGAUAUUGGCACAGUACAGAAAGCGAUUUACUUGUCUUAUAAUCUUAUAAGCUAUUAUGCAGUGAAAUACCUUGGGACAGCCCUGGAAGAGCUCUGAUGGGUCUCCUGUUUUCUACAGGCCAACCAGAUGCCUCUUGACAUCUACAAGGAGAACCUCUCCCUCUGUUGCUCCUCAGCAACUGGUACUAAGGGCUAAUUGUUAGGGGGAUCACUGCAUAAUUACUCCAGAUGGAUUGGUUGAUGCAUUGUCAAUAGGUGAGGGCAUGGGAAGGUGACACACCCUCUUACCUAAUGAUGACUGAUCUGAGGUCUGGGUAUGAAAGAAACUGCAGUUUAAGAGGACAGAUAACAUAAGAGACUGUAGAGCUCUGGAAGCAUCCAGCUGAAAUGUGUGAGGCUCCAUCUGCGUGGACAUUUUGCUGGCUUUUGAAAAAGCACGUUGAUCUCUCAUCCUGAGCCUCCAGUUUAAUUGCCUUGCUGUUUCAAUAAGAUGGUUUUAUUGUCUAUUUUAUUAUUGCUGUUUCUAUUUUAGUGUUUUUACGCGAUUCAUUAUGUAUGUUAAGUAUGGACAUUUUAAUGUGCGUGUAACUGGGUUUUAUACUUUGUAAACUGCUUAGAAACCUAUUUUGGCAUUAAGCAGUAUAUACAUUAAAUCAUCAUUGUCA
This is a long non-coding RNA of Rhineura floridana, 688 nucleotides long. RefSeq lists it as uncharacterized. NCBI's taxonomy places the organism in Eukaryota, Metazoa, Chordata, Lepidosauria, Squamata, Rhineuridae. The transcript has 2 exons. The record is from RefSeq and is a predicted model, not a curated record.